AGAGGACCUGCACCACCACAACCAGCAACUCCACCCAAAACACCACCACCACAACCAGCACCAACUCCAACAUCUCAAGCAACUCCACCCAAAACAGCAUGCACUUCAGCUCCAGGUUGUCCAUCUGAUGUGGAGAGCAUCCUCUAUCCAUUUUCCCCAGAGGCAGCCAUCAGACUCAGCAUCUUCUCCAUGGUGCUGAUUAUACCUGCACUCAUUGGAACUGUUCAUUUAGUGAGGAGGAGGAAGCAGACAAGUAGAGAUGACCCCCCAGCCAUGGAACUCCAGGUGCUGAACUAACUGGAUGACCUCAAGAGAGUCAUGAUGUCAUUAUCCAUGCCCCUUUUACAGUUUAUAGGCUACAUGCAAAUGAUUUCCAUCUUUAUGUUAAUAUGUUCAAUUGUUUUAGGGGAAGAACACGGAUUAUUUGGGUCGUUCUCUGAUCUCGUUUCUUCUAUUCUGCUCUUGUCUUUGACUGGCUAGACUCUGCCCUGCCUACUCACCUCUUCUGGAGGAGGCCUGGCU
This is a long non-coding RNA of Sardina pilchardus (European sardine), 522 nucleotides long. RefSeq lists it as uncharacterized. NCBI's taxonomy places the organism in Eukaryota, Metazoa, Chordata, Actinopteri, Clupeiformes, Clupeidae. The transcript is spliced from 3 exons. The record is from RefSeq and is a predicted model, not a curated record.